UACGAAGGGGGCUAGCGUUGCUCGGAAUCACUGGGCGUAAAGCGCACGUAGGCGGACUCUUAAGUCGGUGGUGAAAUCCUGGAGCUCAACUCCAGAACUGCCUUCGAUACUGGGAGUCUCGAGUUCGGGAGAGGUGAGUGGAACUGCGAGUGUAGAGGUGAAAUUCGUAGAUAUUCGCAAGAGCACCAGUGGCGAAGGCGGCUCACUGGCCCGAUACUGACGCUGAGGUGCGAAAGCGUGGGGAGCAAACAGG
This 253-nucleotide ribosomal RNA is filed under the name uncultured bacterium. RNAcentral describes it as "partial 16S ribosomal RNA". It matches the Rfam family "Bacterial small subunit ribosomal RNA", at positions 524 to 776 of the family's 1533-position model. The record is from RNAcentral.